This 2209-nucleotide ribosomal RNA is filed under the name Klebsiella quasipneumoniae subsp. similipneumoniae. RNAcentral's name for it is "partial 23S ribosomal RNA". It matches the Rfam family "Bacterial large subunit ribosomal RNA", at positions 1 to 2236 of the family's 2925-position model. Lineage: Bacteria; Pseudomonadati; Pseudomonadota; Gammaproteobacteria; Enterobacterales; Enterobacteriaceae. The record is from RNAcentral.
GGUUAAGCGACUAAGCGUACACGGUGGAUGCCCUGGCAGUCAGAGGCGAUGAAGGACGUGCUAAUCUGCGAAAAGCGUCGGUAAGGUGAUAUGAACCGUUAUAGCCGGCGAUGUCCGAAUGGGGAAACCCAGUGCAAUUCGUUGCACUAUCGUUAACUGAAUACAUAGGUUAACGAGGCGAACCGGGGGAACUGAAACAUCUAAGUACCCCGAGGAAAAGAAAUCAACCGAGAUUCCCCCAGUAGCGGCGAGCGAACGGGGAGCAGCCCAGAGUCUGAAUCAGCUUGUGUGUUAGUGGAACGGUCUGGAAAGUCCGACGGUACAGGGUGAUAGUCCCGUACACCAAAAUGCACAGGCUGUGAACUCGAAGAGUAGGGCGGGACACGUGGUAUCCUGUCUGAAUAUGGGGGGACCAUCCUCCAAGGCUAAAUACUCCUGACUGACCGAUAGUGAACCAGUACCGUGAGGGAAAGGCGAAAAGAACCCCGGCGAGGGGAGUGAAAAAGAACCUGAAACCGUGUACGUACAAGCAGUGGGAGCACCUUUAUGGUGUGACUGCGUACCUUUUGUAUAAUGGGUCAGCGACUUAUAUUCUGUAGCAAGGUUAACCGUAUAGGGGAGCCGCAGGGAAACCGAGUCUUAACUGGGCGUUAAGUUGCAGGGUAUAGACCCGAAACCCGGUGAUCUAGCCAUGGGCAGGUUGAAGGUUGGGUAACACUAACUGGAGGACCGAACCGACUAAUGUUGAAAAAUUAGCGGAUGACUUGUGGCUGGGGGUGAAAGGCCAAUCAAACCGGGAGAUAGCUGGUUCUCCCCGAAAGCUAUUUAGGUAGCGCCUCGUGAACUCAUCUUCGGGGGUAGAGCACUGUUUCGGCUAGGGGGUCAUCCCGACUUACCAACCCGAUGCAAACUACGAAUACCGAAGAAUGUUAUCACGGGAGACACACGGCGGGUGCUAACGUCCGUCGUGAAGAGGGAAACAACCCAGACCGCCAGCUAAGGUCCCAAAGUCAUGGUUAAGUGGGAAACGAUGUGGGAAGGCACAGACAGCCAGGAUGUUGGCUUAGAAGCAGCCAUCAUUUAAAGAAAGCGUAAUAGCUCACUGGUCGAGUCGGCCUGCGCGGAAGAUGUAACGGGGCUAAACCAUGCACCGAAGCUGCGGCAGCGACACUAUGUGUUGUUGGGUAGGGGAGCGUUCUGUAAGCCUGCGAAGGUGACCUGUGAGGGUUGCUGGAGGUAUCAGAAGUGCGAAUGCUGACAUAAGUAACGAUAAAGCGGGUGAAAAGCCCGCUCGCCGGAAGACCAAGGGUUCCUGUCCAACGUUAAUCGGGGCAGGGUGAGUCGACCCCUAAGGCGAGGCCGAAAGGCGUAGUCGAUGGGAAACAGGUUAAUAUUCCUGUACUUGGUGUUACUGCGAAGGGGGGACGGAGAAGGCUAUGUUAGCCGGGCGACGGUUGUCCCGGUUUAAGCAUGUAGGCUGGUUAUCCAGGCAAAUCCGGAUAAUCAAGGCUGAGGUGUGAUGACGAGGCACUACGGUGCUGAAGUAACAAAUGCCCUGCUUCCAGGAAAAGCCUCUAAGCAUCAGGUAACAUCAAAUCGUACCCCAAACCGACACAGGUGGUCAGGUAGAGAAUACCAAGGCGCUUGAGAGAACUCGGGUGAAGGAACUAGGCAAAAUGGUGCCGUAACUUCGGGAGAAGGCACGCUGGUGUGUAGGUGAAGUCCCUGCGGAUGGAGCUGAGACCAGUCGAAGAUACCAGCUGGCUGCAACUGUUUAUUAAAAACACAGCACUGUGCAAACACGAAAGUGGACGUAUACGGUGUGACGCCUGCCCGGUGCCGGAAGGUUAAUUGAUGGGGUUAUCCGUAAGGAGAAGCUCUUGAUCGAAGCCCCGGUAAACGGCGGCCGUAACUAUAACGGUCCUAAGGUAGCGAAAUUCCUUGUCGGGUAAGUUCCGACCUGCACGAAUGGCGUAAUGAUGGCCAGGCUGUCUCCACCCGAGACUCAGUGAAAUUGAACUCGCUGUGAAGAUGCAGUGUACCCGCGGCAAGACGGAAAGACCCCGUGAACCUUUACUAUAGCUUGACACUGAACAUUGAGCCUUGAUGUGUAGGAUAGGUGGGAGGCUUUGAAGCGUGGACGCCAGUCUGCGUGGAGCCAACCUUGAAAUACCACCCUUUAAUGUUUGAUGUUCUAACGUUGGCCCCU